GCGCUACUUCGGUAACGCAUAUACUAAAAUUGGAACGAUACAGAGAAGAUUAGCAUGGCCUUGGUACAGGGCAGCCUACUUAUACUGCGAUUUUUCUGUGCUUUGU
Molecule: non-coding RNA, 106 nt
Organism: Doryrhamphus excisus (bluestripe pipefish)
Lineage: Eukaryota; Metazoa; Chordata; Actinopteri; Syngnathiformes; Syngnathidae
Source: RefSeq, a predicted model, not a curated record